Molecule: long non-coding RNA, 1975 nt
Organism: Papaver somniferum (opium poppy)
Lineage: Eukaryota; Viridiplantae; Streptophyta; Magnoliopsida; Ranunculales; Papaveraceae
Exons: 2
Source: RefSeq, a predicted model, not a curated record
GUGGAAGCUCUAGUGUGGACUGUGAACAAAAGAAGCGGAGCUGAGGCGUUUCCUUACUUCCCCAUCUUGCUGCUGCCCCAUUGUUGAUCUCUCUCUCUCUUCGGAUUGGUAUGUUUCUGCUCAUUCUAACAGAAAUUGUUUCUGUGGUUUUUUUCUAAAUUUCAUUUACCAAUUUAUGCUUUUUCUGUGUUAUCAAUCAUGCAACAACACUAGUUGUAAUUAGGUCACAAAAUUUGGUAAAAAACAAAUGAAGGGUUCAAAUGGGAAGGAGGGUUUGGUGGUGUGUGUGAAAUCCAUGAGAGAUCUACGUUCUGUACUGUAAAAACUCCAAACCUGAGUUAAUCUUUCAAAUGGGUGUCCUAGUUAAACUUGUAACCAUUCUCUAGAAUUGAAGUUUGGAUUUCACGAUUAUCGUUUGGAUUUUGUACAAGCUCUAGGACUAGAUUUAGCUAUCUUAUAUGGAUUCUUAUUGAUCUUAAAGACUGAGAAAAAACUCGAUUAGCAAAUGCAUUAUUACUUAUCAACUGUACCUAAGAAUACCCAUCAUCAAAUUUACAGCAUUCUUGUUUGCAUUUAUGAGUUAUAUCACAUUGAGUCUUAGUAUAGUAUUUGGUUUAGUUUACUAAUUCAUCCGUUCUUUUACCCUUUUCUUGUUGAGAUUAGGCUUCAGAUUCAAAUCAGUUAUCAGAUUAAUGAGAGUUAUCAUGGUAUUUUGACUGAAAUUAGCCUUAAGAUAGGUGUAGGUUCUUACCUUGGAGGGCUUUAUGAAACCUCAGUUGGCUCCCUCGCCCUCAUGUUGAGAUAGAUCAUGCACUCUUUUCGGGUUCUGUUGCUCUGCAUUGUUGAAAUUCUCUGAUAGGUUUUUACUGCAGCAAUACCUCUGUACUCUGGAUCAGGUGUAGUAGUGAUUUUUAGGAACCAUUAACUGUUCUCCCUUUUCAGUACUUUGAUUAGUAGUUCCAAAUACAGCUGUGUUGCCUCUCUUCUUUUUAGCCGAGUUAGGGUUCUGCUCUCUUGGAUCAGUAGCAACUUCUUUCUUGAGCGAUAUUGGUUCCUGUCUCUCAAGUCUAGUCCAAGUUUUCUGGUGAGCUUUGGAUUGAUCUGCUAUUCUCUCAAAGCCAGGAGGAUGUUGAAGUUGUUGAUUGUUUAGAAUUUCGAAGCCUGGCGGGAUAUCAGGUGUAUUAGUUUCCUUCUUUAGUGGAUGUCCCCUAGCAACCUGCUUGAGAUGUCUCCUGAUGCUUCUCUGGCUGCUUUUGUAGGUACCUUGUUGUACAUUGCUAGUCAUGCCGAAGGAGAAGUUGAUCUGCUCAUUUGGUUGAGCUUCAUCCAAAUCCACUUGAUCUCCAGUGAAAGGAUUCGACAUGCUUUGAGGAUUGAAAGGAUUAAAACCUCCUGGAGGACUUCUUUUAGGACCAUGAAGCUGUUAUCCAAGGACCUCUUGUCUUCAGGUGAUUUCUAUCCUCCUCAGAAUUUACUUUGAUGACAUAGAAGUUAAAUCCCUUGUUAAAUUUGGUGAUGUUGAAGCCUCAAGAUAGAUCCCAGGUACCUCUGAUGCAGCUGAUUAAGUCCAUGAGAAGAGGUUUUUUGUUGCUAACCAGCCUUCCAACAAAGCACAUCUUCCAAUCUUUUUUCUCUUUAACAGUGAGAUGAGAUGGAUCUAUUAAUAAGGAUGAACAGGUUGCUAGUGAGUUUGGAGCUGAGGAUGAGAAUGGGGGUGUUUAAUAUAAGUCUUGGGGUUAAGCAAGGACUGAUCUGGCGGGAAAGAUAUACUCCAGGGAGUUUGAACCUUGAAUUUCCACACAGUAUUGCUAUCUGAGUUCUUGUUCGGACUACUGUUCCUUUGAGAAGCAGUUUGCAGUAAUAUUCAGUUUUGUAGAUGGCCUGGAGCUAGACCCAUGUGGGUCAAUUGAUUUUUCAUUUUCUAACCUGACAUUAAGACAUAAGGGAGCCAUUUGGCCACAUUUUCUUCUCUUAA